This is a long non-coding RNA of Sapajus apella (tufted capuchin), 1348 nucleotides long. RefSeq lists it as uncharacterized. The record is from RefSeq and is a predicted model, not a curated record. NCBI's taxonomy places the organism in Eukaryota, Metazoa, Chordata, Mammalia, Primates, Cebidae. The transcript has 2 exons.
UCAAACUCCUGGGCUGAAGCUAUCCUCCUGCCUUGGCCUCCCAAAGUGUUGGGACUACAAGUGUGAAACACUCCACAUAUGGCCCAAACUCACUUUUAUACACACCUACUCUUGCAAUAACAAACACACUCCCGCAAUAACAACAUUAAUCCAUUUAUGAGGACAGAGCCCUUGUGAACCAAUCAUCUCUUGAAAGUCGUACCUCUCACUGUUGUUGCAUUGGGGAUUGUUUCCAAUACAUGAAUUUUGGGGGACAUAUUCAAAUUAUAGCACCUAUCUCUUUUGGUUCUACUCAUAGCAAAGGUGGCUACCUGGAUGUAGUGUGUAGCUCAGCAUUGACUGCUUAUAGGGCACUGGGAAAGGGGUUUGAGGUUCCCUUGCAUAGCAAACAGGAGCAUAUUAGACACCUCAGGUUUUACCACUUCUGGGAAUUCUUGCUGGUUCUGUUACUUCACUUUGUGACCUGCUCUUCCUACCUUGCUUCUUCACCUCUUUCCUCACUGGUUACGAAGCAUCCCAGGAGAUCAUCAAUGCAAUGAAAAAACCAUUCUCCCUGCAUCAGCGCAAAGAGUCAUUGUAUGUUUUUUUUUUUAACAGGUUCCAUCCUUCAUGGCCAAUCAUUUUAAUGGUAUUUUUUCUUCUUUAACCAAAUAAGCAGGAAACUAACACAAUUACACAGUCCAGUCUUCUGGUACCAGGAUCUUCCAUGAAUGGGAAACAUCAACUGAGUCUAUAAGCUAUAAAAAACUACAGGUUUCAGCAAUCUUGCUUCAAAGCCAGGUAGCACUUUAGCACCCAAAGGCAUUCUCCAUAGAGCUCUCUCUCUCUUUCUUGCUAUUACAGAUCUGAAAGAUUUUCAGGUUGAGGCAUAAUGGAAAAAAAUUAUCUUUACAAAAGAUGUUGGAAAGUCUCAUUCCUCGUUCAGCAAGCACUUCAUUUAGAGGAAAAGGUCCUGUGAAAGAGAGAAGGGUUGGUAUGGGGUGGGAAUUGAAGCUUGGCAAGCUGAUGAGAAGCAGAAGGUGAGAGAUGGAACUUUGGUUUCCUUAUGUAUGUAUAUAUAAAAAACAUAAUGUUUAGUUAGUCCUUCAAGAAGUAAAGCUAUACAAACUCAAUAUGUUGGUACUCAUUUCCUAACUAGCUUGAUCCUACUGAACACAAAUACAAUAAUGUUUCUUUUCUCCUUCAAUGCUCUCAUCUUAAAUUCAUUCAAUUGAAAAAAAACAGAGUCUUAAUGUCAUGUGCUCAGACGCUGUGAACAUUUUGCUUGUUUAGGACAAAAUACUUUUGAUUCUUGGAGAAGAAUUUCAAGGCCCUGACUCUCAGCUCAGUUUACACUCAUGUGUCAAGG